AGAGUUUGAUCCUGGCUCAAAAUCAACGCUGGCGGCGUGCCUCAGACAUGCAAGUCGAACGCGAAACCUUCCUUCGGGAGGGGAGUAGAGUGGCGCACGGGUGAGUAACACGUAGGUAAUCUACCUUUGGGUGGGGAAUAACAGCCGGAAACGGCUGCUAAUACCGCAUAAUGCAGCGGCUCGACAUCGAGACAGUUGUUAAAGCGGGGGAUCGCAAGACCUCCCGCCUAAAGAGGAGCCUGCGGCAUAUUAGCUAGUUGGUAAGGUAAUGGCUUACCAAGGCGACUAUCUGUAACCGGCCUGAGAGGGCGGUCGGUCACACUGACACUGACAUACGGGUCACACUCCUACGGGAGGCAGCAGUCGGGAAUUUUGGGCAAUGGGCGAAAGCCUGACCCAGCAACGCCGCGUGAAGGAUGAAAUCCCUCGGGAUGUAAACUUCGCAAGAGUGGGAAGAAUAAGUAGGGGACAAUACCCCCUAUGAUGACGGUACCAUUUGUAAGCUCCGGCUAACUCCGUGCCAGCAGCCGCGGUAAUACGGGGGGAGCAAGCGUUGUUCGUGAUUUACUGGGCGUAAAGGGCGCGUAGGCGGUCGUGACAAGUCACUUGUGAAAUCUCCGGGCUUAACUCGGAACGGUCAAGUGAUACUGUCAGACUAGAGUACAGAGGGGGCAACUGUAAUUCUCGGU
This 689-nucleotide ribosomal RNA is filed under the name uncultured bacterium. RNAcentral describes it as "bacterial SSU rRNA". It matches the Rfam family "Bacterial small subunit ribosomal RNA", at positions 8 to 674 of the family's 1533-position model. The record is from RNAcentral.